CAACAAAUCUCUUAUUUGGGAGUCCUCGAGAAGGCCUAAGAUCAUCUGAUCAACAGCUAAAUAGGAGUCCCCGCGUGAUUUUUGUAACGCUUGAGAACGCCUUAUCACCUUAAUAAGACUGGUGCUGGGCGGAACUUCAUCAGGAGGUGGAGACUGAGAUGGGAGUUUCUUGAGGACUUGAUUGAAAACUCUUUCUGCUGCCUGAGCAGUGUUCUCACCAUCACCGGCAUUGGCAACCGCUUGUCUCAAGAUUCCACUAGGGUCUGAAAUAAGGGCCACAGCAAGAUGUAAUGGGGUUAUCUGGGCAUGACCAGCACCCACUGUCAAUUCGUGAGCUGUUGCAAGAGCCUCGUUGGUCUUGUGUGUGAACUUUCCAGGAUCCAUUGAUUCUUUAACUUCAACGUCCUUUCUUCAAGCGAAGGAAACCAACGACUACGGUUUUGGAACUGAUCAUAAGAGAUAAACAUGACAGCUCAUGUAAGAUUUUUCCAAGAAUAUACAAUAUAGUUGUAGUACAACUACUAGCCACUAGCAGGUAUACUUGCAAUAAGAAUUUAAAAAAAAAAAAAAAAAAAAAACCGUUGCUGUCGCCGUUCGGAAUACGAAAAGCACAGAACAGAAAAGCGCUAAAACUAGAAAAUGAGAUUGAUGGAGAAGGAAAGUGUAAUUCUAAUUUCUGCGCACCUGAUCAGCUAACGAAACGGAUGUCUUUCUUUCAGCUAGCUCCUUGCCCUAAAACUAAAGCUGAAUCUUCGAUUGUUGAAUCUGUUUCCGAAUUGAGUUUGAUCCUCUCUUUUUUGUUCUGCUUGGAGUGAAGCAAAAACGAAGCGAUGGAGGUGUGUUUUGAAGAGACGAGAGAGACAUCUGGAAACGAGUAGAUACGAGGCACUAGAAACUACUAGAAAGAUAUGGAAAAACAUAUGCUCGCUUGCUCUCAUACCACUCCCCUCCCGUCUUGUCCCUACAGUAAUAACUAGUCGUAAAUUUAUCUUUUAAAAAAAAAAAAACCUCUGGCUAGGUUAUUUUCUAAAAAAAUUAAAAAUAUAAAGUAAAAACGUAUUUAAUUAAAUAAAUUAAAAAUUUAUGUAAAUUAAAAAAAAAUUAACAAUAAAAAAAAAAGAAAAAUUAAGAGAUGGAUGUUGGCCAUGCGGUUGCUUUUCAAAGUACUUUUCACUCAGAAAUGUAUUAAAAUAAUAUUUUUUUAAUUUUUAAAAUUUAUUUUUUAUAUCAAUGCAUCAAAAUGAUAUAAAAACAGUAAAAACAUAUUAAUUUGAAGCAAAGAAAAAAAUUAAAAAUAUUAUUUUUUUUCAAAAGUGCUUUUGAAACGCAAAAACAAAUAGAGUUUCGCAAUACAAGUUAUUUGAUACGGGUUAAUCACUCGAUUGUGUGUAGUGAAUUUAUUUAUGAAAAUUAAUCUGUAAUAGAAAUCAACACACACAUAAAAUUUAUUAAAUAAAAGAAUUAUGCAAUGUUGUACAUAUUAAAAAUAUUGCAAACAAAUAUAUGUUUUUAAUUUUAAAUAUAAAUUUAAUCUAUAUAAAAUAUAUAAAAAAAUUAUAGACGAAUCACAGUAACCUCAUAAAAAAUUAAACACGCUCAAUAUAAUAAAAAAAGAAUUUUUAUUUUAAAAAGUAUAAAAAAAUCUAAAAAAAUCACAUAAAAGAGGUGUUAAUCAAAAUAUAAAUUAGAACAUUAUUUUUAAUUAUACAUAUAAAAAGUUGUAAUUUAUAUAUAAAAAAAAAAAAGAAUGACAUGAGGCACUAUAGGCCUAGUAAGUCUGGCCUAGCACCUGGCCCAUGAAGAAAGUUCUCUCGCACGUGAUCCUUGACUUUUUUUUAUCUAAAAUUAAUGGGGAGGAUGACACAUUGUCGGCUUCAUCCUUUGGCAAAAAAUAGAUGAUGCUUCAUAUGAAAUCUUUAAAAUUUGGUUAUUGUGGUGGCUGGAAAAAUAUAAUUAUUGGUUGUUUUCUUCUAAAACUCAUUUUCAACAUAUUUUUAACCUAAAACACAUAAAAAAACACUCUAUAAACCUUGUUAAACAAAUUCAUAACCUCAAAAAACAAAACAAACCGCUUUAAAACCCAAAAAAAUCUUCUUGAGCUCAGAUCACCUUUUUUAUGCACUUUCAAGAUCCAAAGACAUCUAAUUAAAACUCCUCUCAUCAUAUAGAGCUGUUUGGUACAAAAAUCAACUAUUUUGGUUAUUAGAAUCAUUGCAACGAUAAUUUUUUCUCUCUAAAUCAGAAUCCAGUAAAACUCUCUCUCUCUUCUCAUACAUAAAAAGAAUUGAAAAAUGAUGAAAAUAAAAUUUGGUAUCAAAAUUAAUUUUUUUAAAAUUAAAGCAACCGAUCAACUAAUGGAUUAAAAAAAUUAGGGAUCUAAAAUGUACUUUUCAAUUAAAAUUUUAAAAUAAUAGAGCCAUUUUUAAAUUAAAAAACUAAAAAAAGACAACUGAGAUCAACUCUUAAACAUGCAUGCCAACACAAAGGGGAAAAGAAUAAUCAAUCCAAAAGAAUGAAAAUGAUGGCUCUCUCUCAAUGCGGUAUGGACCAUCUAGUUUGAUAAUUAUAAUGUUGAUAUCUUGAUCUUUUAGAAGCUUUUAGAGAAGAAGCUGAGAAGAAAAAGCCAAGAAAGAAAAGGGGAUUGGAGAUAUGCAAAGUCUGUAAAUUUUUCAUUAAUCAUCAAAACUCCCUAACAUUUAGAAAAGUGGGAUAUAAAUACUAAAACCCUAACUAGAACAAGUGUUUGGGCUUAUGGCCCACUAAAUAAAAUACCCAACAAUAAUUAAAUCAAACCCAACAAAUAAAACCAAAUUAAUAAACCUUAACUAAAAGUUCAUAUAAAUUAAACUCAAAAACAUAAGUUAAAGCCCAAUUUCUCAAUGGUUUGGGCUAUCCUUCAUCGUCUAUGAUCAUACGCGUGCGUAAACAAUGUUUCCGGUUCGGUGUCCCCAUCAAUUCUCCCGGGGUUGGAAGAACUCGACCCCGUCGAGUAUAGGUCAAGGCAGCUCCGAUAAUGCUCUCAAAGAUAAGGAUCAAGCUGUUGUGAUAUCUCUCUGAUAAUCCAAGUAUAGUUUGAAUCUGGUCGUCGAGCCCAUAUACUGGGAUUUGCUGAAGUUCACCAUCCCUGGUAAAAACAACAUGUGCAUUCAAAGUAGCAUUAAUAUGUUCCUUUUGUGCCAAAGAUAUGGAUAAUGAGGUAGGGGUAUCAAAAGGAGCAUCAUGGGUAGGCUGUAUUUUAUAAAAACUGAGGUCUUUCAUGUUAAAAGUAGAGCUAAUAUCAAAGUUUAAUGGCAAUUUAAUGAUAUAAUUAUUUGAUUUAAUCAUUUGCAACACUUUGAAUGGUCUAGCACUACUUACUUGCAAUUUAUGAUUGGUUUCCAAAGGACACCGUUCAGGUCUAAUCUGUAUCAUGAAAUAAUCUCCAACAUUAAGUGCAUCAUGAUAUUUAAGUAAAUCAGCUCGAAAUUUGUAUUGUUCAUUACUUGCUUGAAUUUGUUUCAUGAUCUCAAUAUGCAAAUUAUGAACCCUACAUGGUAACGACUCAGCUGACUUAGACAUCCUAUCGUGAGGAGAUAUGGGAAGGUGUUCUAUCGGCUCCUCAGGUUUGUAGCUAUGAACACUAAAUGAUUGAGGGUGUGGAAUGAGACAAACAUUGUCUGAAACUUAUGUAGAUAUGGUAUCGACACAAUCAAGUAACCUAGGAUUAUCUUCAUCUUCCUCAUCACGUGCAUGUGGUAAGGGGUCAAGAAGCUCAACAUGUUGCUCUAAAUUUAUAAUGUGCUGGACACCAAACAUGUGGGAUGAGGAAUCAGGUAAUUCAGGAGGACUAAUAUCAUGAGACUCUUUUAAGACUAUACUUAUCUCUAUAGGUGAUUCCACUGAUGAGUUCCCUAAAAUUUCCUCUACCAUUAAAGCAGACAUAUUAGACUUUUUCUUAACCUCAGUCUCAAGCUCAUGUGGACUCAUUGUGUUAAGUCCCUCUUCUUGCACAUCCUCGUCAUCUAGGUCACUAAAAUCCUCAAGAUUAGGCUCAUACACUUCAACACUACAAUAUUCCUCUUCACCUAGAUCCUUAUAUUUUUGGAUGACUAAAGGUUUAGAGGUACAAUCUAAAGAGAUAUGACCAAAACCUAAACAAUUAAUACACUUAACAUUUGAACUCACCUUAGACACUUCAUUGACAACUCGUUUGCCUUUAUCUUUCUUACAAAGUUGGGCACUACUAGGAUUAGGUCUGUGGGGUGGAGCACCUAACAAAGAAUCAUUACUUCUGAAUUGGGACCUAGUAGGGAUACUAUAAGAGUCCUGACGAUUCUUCCACUGAUUCUUUGUGACCAACUUGUAGUCUUUAACUAAGGUAUAAGCUUGGUCAAGGGUAGAUACACCUUGAAAUACAACUUCUCUUCUAAGAUCAUCAUUUAAGCCUCUACAAAAUCUAUGCAAAGUCAUGGCUUCACUCUCUCUUAUGGCACAUCUAAUCACGUAAUCGUUAAACUGCGUUAUAUACUCAUUAAUAGACUUAGUCCCUUGUCUUAGAUUGUUCCAUUGGUCUAAGAGUUUAUUCCUAUAAGAUUGGGGUAGGUACUUCUCCUGAAGUUUUUUUUUCAUUUUGAUCCAAUCAGUUAUAGGAGGUUUACCUCUCAUCUCUAAACAAUCUUCAACAUCUAUCCAAUAAAUUUUGGCUUCAUCAAUGAGUUUCAUCUUAGCAAAUCUAACCUUUUUAUUAUCAGACAAUUUAAGCCACUCAAAGAAUCUAUCCAUAUCACGAAUCCACAUAUCAAAUAUCCAAGGGUCAUGACGAUCGUCAAAAGUGGGGGCUUCUAUUUUGUUAGGACUCAAGACUCGCUUAUCAAAGUCAUCGUGUUUAGAUAACCUAAAUAAUAGUCAUAUUGGUGGCGCUCAGAGUGAACUUGUCCAUAAUGAGUGUUCUUGUGAUAUUCCUUAGUCUUUGAGUGCCUUAUUCGAAAACUCUCUUGGGGCUCCAUUAUCUUAAACAUAUUGAUCACCUAAGUUUGCAGUUCCCUUUAAAUGGUCAUAAGCAUAUCACUAAAGGAUGAGUCUACCGUAAGUGUAGACUUAAGCUUGGACACUAGAUGAUCAUGACACAAAUGCAUGCAACACUAACUUAUAAAUGGAAUUGAAAUCACAAAUGGUUCUUGCAUGUAAAAUAACAAUACAAAAAUAAAGCUAAUUUUUUUUAUCUUUUUUUUUUAAAUGUGGAAACUAAUCAAGAACAAAUUACACUAAUAAAAUUGUAAGCAUGUAAUACUAGAUUCUUAAGUGUAAAUGAUUAAUCAAACACGAUGUCACAAGCAAGAACUCAUAAUUAUCAAAUAGAAUAGAAUAUUAGCUAUCACUGCUGAAAGAGGUUGAUGAACAAAAAAUAAUAAUAUUCUUUGUUAGGUGAGUUUUUUUUUUUUUUGGAAUUUUCUAGGCACAAAAAUAAUAUUAAUAAUAACUUAAAUGACAAGUGAAAAACCAAGAAAAGUAACUUCAACAAAUAUGAGAGAGUGAUUCACUAACUAGAGUGCUGGGAGGAAGCUGGAGUUUGUUGGAGCUGACGUGGCAAACUAGAUGAAUGGACUGCUGACACGGCAGAUGACAUGGCCAGUUUGCUGACAUGGUGGGUGACGUGGAUGAUCUUGUCUGGCGUGGCAGGGUGGCAUGGCCGAUGACGUGGUAGGGCUAAUUAAUUUUGCCGAGAGUUUUCUUUGGUUUCCUAGUUUCCUUCAUCUGGUUGUCGUCUUCACACAAACCUGCUCUUGGAAAUCAGUCAACAAAUUAAUCCUCGUAACCCGAUACAGGUGAAAGGAUUAAGAUGUUAGUCUGCCAUGGCGAGUCUCUGGGUUGAGUUGAUCUGCUGCUGUGAGAAGCGGUUUGCUGAAGGUGAAUUGAUUUGGCUGCUGUGAGAACUGUUAUAGAUCUUGGUGGCUGUUGAGAGAAGGCGUGGCUGGUGAAGAUGAAUAGCUAUUGCGGGCACUGAAGGUGGUGGUUUGUGGUUCUGAUUUGGCUGCUGAAGGCGAGGACCACCGCGGUCUGUUGAAGAUGGUGGUUGCCACCGGUCAGUUCUACUGCUCUGUCGGUCGCUAAUGGUGGGGGGACGACGAUGGUACUGUGGACAAUCGCUGGCGCUGAAGAGGACGACACUGGCUGAGGCGCUGCCUUUGCUGCUGUAAACCCGAAUCGAUGUUGGCUGUGAUGGGUGUUGUGGGUAGCGGCAUCCGGUUUGAUGAUGGAGACGAUGAACAGUGAUUUUGAACAGUGAACAGUAGGUUUUUCAACAGGGAAUUUUUUUUUUUCAAAUCAAACCGGAUCUAGGGUUUAGUAUAAACAUUAUAGACCGUUUAAUUGUAAGAACAAUUAAAAGCCUUGCUCUGAUAUCAAAUUUGAUGCGGAACAACAAACAAAAGAAUUAAAGCCGAGAAAAGAAAGAAGCUUUUAGAGAAGAAGAUGAGAAGAGAAAGCCAAGAAAGAGAAGAAAGGAGAUUAGAGAUAUGCAAAGUCUGCAAAUUUUUCAUUAAUCAUCAAAACUCCCUAACAUUUAGAAAAGUGGGAUAUAAAUACUAAAACCCUAACUAGAACAAGCGUUUGGGCUUAUGGCCCACUAAAUAAAAUACCCAACAAUAAUUAAAUCAAACCCAACAAAUAAAACCAAAUUAAUAAACCUUAACUAAAAGUUCAUAUAAAUUAAACCCAAAAACAUAAGUUAAAGCCCAAUUUCUCAAUGGUUUGGGUUAUCCUUCAUCGUCUAUAAUCAUACGCGUGCGUAAACAAUGUUUCCGGUUCGGUGUCCCCAUCAUGGACCAUCUAGUUUGAUAAUGAUAAUGUUGACAUCUUGAUCUUUUAAUCAGCCUUUCAAAUACAACUCAUAAAGAAUAUUAAAGCUAAUCUACAAUCAAGAAAUUAUCAUACUGAAAAAAUCUUAAAAAAAAAAACAUAUUGUAAGAAUAGUAAAAACUUGAUUUAUGAUCCAUUGAACACUUUAAAUGCUCUGACUUCUUAAACUAUACAAAUACUAUAAAAAAAGACUCCACAAGAAAGACAUGCAUUAAAGUGAGAACUUUCUAAUCACAUGUAAAUAGCUCUCAUCAUAUACAAAACAACAAUAUCACCUUAUAAAACUAUAAAUAAGAGCUUUUUUUCUAAAAUUAACAAACAAAUGACGAGAAGGUAGCUAGAAAUUGUCGUGUGCUCAAGAUGUAAUUAAUAAUAUCUUAUAAUAAGAGAGGGGAUCAUUUAUUAAUCUCAACAAAUCAUUUUUAGUGGUAAAAUGAAAAGAAAGAAAAAAAAAUAUUGAAUUAAAUUCAAUUAUAGCUCUAAUAAAUUCGAUUAUCUUGAUUUUAUUCAAGCUUCACGAUAAGAAAAAAGCUUCUAGGUGGUUUGACUAAUCACUCUUGCCAUUAUAAGUGUUGGGAUAAAAGAAAAAAGGUAGAAAGAGAGUACAGAAAAUCAAGACAAACAAAGCACAAAGCCCUGGUAAAUACUUACUUAAAAAUACAUUUAUCUUGAAAAAAUAUCAACACACCAAAUUCCCAAGUACCAAAAGUGACGUUUAAAUUCUGAAGCAGAGGCUUCAGAAAAUCAAGACAUGGAGGUAGCACUCUUGAUUAUAUACUAUAACUUGAACUCCAUGUUCAAGCAAACAAGUUAUUUAAGAGACUUGAAACAUGGGAAGGUAGUGAAAAAAAUAGAGCCGACUUCAGAAACCACCAGCAAUUCACUCAAUCAUCUCGUCGUCGUCGUCGUUGUCGACAAUCUCUUGAAUUUUCAUCUUUUUCACUUUCUGGGCAGCAUCAUCCCUUGGGGCUUUUGGAAUUUGAAUCAAAACAUCAGUCUUCUGCCCAGUGGUUGCAUUGACGAGCCCGCCAUUCUUCUCCACACGAUAAACCAAGUCCUGUCCAUCUGGGCCUGCAUCUAUGUACACAGUAGAGUUCUCAUCAAUCUCUUCUCUCACGAGCAUUCUCGAUAGCUCUGUAACCACCUUCCUCUCCAGCCAUCUCCUUAUGGGUCGUGCACCAUAGACCUAAAACAAGAGAUAGACGACGUGAGUUCCUUCAUCAAAACAGAGUACAUAACAAGUGACAGAAUAUGGUGUCAGAACACUCACGGGAUCAUAGCUUUCUGCCAAAAUAUAAUCCAGGGCAGCAUCUGUAACAGCCAAAGCAAUACCCCUCUCAGCAAGCCGGCUAGCAACGUCCUUCAUUUGUAACCUUGCAACCUUUCUCAGUUGGUCGUGAGAGAGUGGAUCAAAAACCACUAUCUCAUCAAGCCGAUUUAGUAACUCAGGCCUGAACUGCUUUCUCACCUGUCAGAAAAAUCAACAAUUGACAGCAAGUUAUUAUCUCAACUUCCUUCAAGCAACAAGCGUAUAACAAAACCCAUCAAGACUGCAUGACCGAAUUUAUAGAGCAUUAAGCUUACCUCUUGCAUCACUCUGUCUCGAGCAACUUGCAUGGAACACUUGCCCAGCAGUCCAGACAGAAGGUGCUCCGCUCCAAGGUUGGAAGUCAUGAUAAUCACUGUGUUUCUGAAAUCUACAGUGCGGCCUUGACCAUCUGUUAACCUUCCAUCAUCAAGAACUUGAAGAAGAGUAUUAAAGACAGAAAUGUGAGCUUUCUCCACUUCAUCAAACAGCACAACGCUAUAAGGCCUCCGCCUCACGGCCUCUGUCAGCUGCCCACCUUCCUCAUGUCCCACAUACCUGAAAUACAAACACACGGGUGAGAUCUUUUAUUCAUGCAACCUUAUAGAAUAGAGAAAAAGAAAUAGAUGAAAAGUAAGUACUUACCCAGGAGGAGCACCAAUAAGUCGAGAUACUGAGUGUUGCUCCAUGUACUCUGACAUAUCGAUCCUCACUAGUUGGUUUUCAUUAUCAAAGAGCUGUUCAGCAAGAGUCUUGGCAAGCUCAGUCUUGCCAACACCAGUUGGACCCAAGAAUAGGAAUGAGCCAGUCGGCUGUUGAGGCCUGCCUAAACCAGCCCUAGACCUCAGCACAGCCUCUGCAACAGCAUUGACCGCUUGGUCCUGUCCUACCACUCUAUGAUGCAACCUGUCUGCAAGCCCGAUUAGCCUCUCCUUCUCAUUCUGGCCAAGCCUUGUGACAGGAAUGCCAGUCCACCGACUCACUACUUCUGCAAUGUGUUCUGGUCCAACAGUUUCUGUCAGCAUCAAGUUCUCGUCAGUGGUUGAUCCUUCAAGACGUGCUAUGGCAGCUUCCACUUCCUCCAGCGCCCCAUAGCGCAAAUCAGCAACUCUGGCUAAAUCAUAUCUUCUUUCAGCCUCUUGUAUGGAGAAAUGUAUCUCCUCUCUCUUCUGCUUGAGCCGCCUGAUCUCAUCAAUCCUUUCUUUCUCCUUUUUGUAUUUCAUCAACAAGGGCUGAAGCUUGUCUCUCAAGUCGUCAAGUUCUUUUACGACCUGAAACAGUGUCAAUAUUGUCAGAUUUACCAUGAGAGAGAUAUAAAGCAGCACAUAAUUGAUUUCCAGAUCUUCUUUUAAGCUGCGAUUCUUACUUCAGCCAGUCGAGCUUUGCUAGCUUUAUCCUUCUCCUUCUCAAGAGCAUGAAGUUCAACUUCUAGUUGCAUUCUCUUCCUUUCAAGGCUAUCAAUUUCUUCAGGCUGGCUAUCAAGUUGGACUCUCACAUUUGCACAAGCUUCAUCGACUAAAUCAAUUGCCUUAUCAGGCAGAUGACGACCUGAACACAUCAACCGAAAAGACCAGCAUUUAUUAUCCCGCCAAAUGAUCCCAAUAUAUCAAUCAAUUAUGCAUGAAAAUAUACUACCCUUCAAUAAAAUCACCAAUUCCAAAAUUACUGGUGCAUGUUAAAACCUGAAAGUAGAAUUGAACUGUUAAAACGUACCUGUAAUGUAUCGACUUGAUAAUUGAGCUGCAACCACAAGGGCUCUGUCCUGAAUUCGAACACCAUGAUGACCCUCAUACUUCUCUUUCAAUCCUCGAAGAAUGCUUAUUGUGUCUGGAACACUAGGCUCCGCCACAUAGACUUGUUGGAACCUCCUCUCAAACGCAGCAUCUUUCUCCACAUACUUCCUGUACUCUUCCAGGGUUGUGGCACCAAUGCACCUGAGCUGACCUCUUGCAAGCAUUGGCUUAAAAAGGUUAGCAGCGUCCAUGGACCCCUCUGUUCGACCCGCGCCUAGAACAAGAUGAAUUUCAUCAAUGAACAGAAUCACCUUCCCCUCAGCUUCCUCCACUUCUUUCAACACGGCCUUUAACCUCUCCUCAAAUUCCCCUCUAUAUUUUGCGCCGGCAACAAGGGCACCCAUAUCCAAGGCAAUGAGCCUGACAUCAGCAAGAUUACUUGGAACAUCCCCUCUCACAAUCCUUUGGGCCAAACCUUCAGCAACUGCGGUUUUGCCAACUCCUGGCUCUCCAAUAAGGACAGGGUUGUUCUUCGUUCUCCGAGACAGAAUCCUGACAACCCUCCUGAUCUCCUCAUCUCUUCCAAUAACAGGAUCAAGCUUUCCCGCACCUUCCACAAGAUCUCUCCCAUAAGUCUUCAAUGCCUGAAAAUUAGUAUCCCCGGAAGCAUUCUCCACCUUCUUCCCUUCCUUUCCUCGGAGUUUCUCUACCUCCGAUUUCACUGUGGAAGCGGAAACUCCGACUUCUUUCAACAAAUCUCUUAUUUGGGAGUCCUCGAGAAGGCCUAAGAUCAUCUGAUCAACAGCUAAAUAGGAGUCCCCGCGUGAUUUUUGUAACGCUUGAGAACGCCUUAUCACCUUAAUAAGACUGGUGCUGGGCGGAACUUCUUCAGGAGGUGGAGACUGAGAUGGGAGUUUCUUGAGGACUUGAUUGAAAACUCUUUCUGCUGCCUGAGCAGUGUUCUCACCAUCACCGGCAUUGGCAACCGCUUGUCUCAAGAUUCCACUAGGGUCUGAAAUAAGGGCCACAGCAAGAUGUAAUGGG
Molecule: long non-coding RNA, 10920 nt
Filed under: Populus trichocarpa (black cottonwood)
Lineage: Eukaryota; Viridiplantae; Streptophyta; Magnoliopsida; Malpighiales; Salicaceae
Description: long non-coding RNA (PTRI_LNC003463)
Source: RNAcentral